AGUGAACGCUGGCGGUAGGCCUAACACAUGCAAGUCGAACGGCAGCACAGUAAGAGCUUGCUCUUACGGGUGGCGAGUGGCGGACGGGUGAGGAAUACAUCGGAAUCUACUUUUUCGUGGGGGAUAACGUAGGGAAACUUACGCUAAUACCGAAUACGACCUACGGGUGAAAGAAGGGGAUCUUCGGACCUUGCGCGAUUGAAUGAGCCGAUGUCGGAUUAGCUAGUUGGCGGGGUAAAGGCCCACCAAGGCGACGAUCCGUAGCUGGUCUGAGAGGAUGAUCAGCCACACUGGAACUGAGACACGGUCCAGACUCCUACGGGAGGCAGCAGUGGGGAAUAUUGGACAAUGGGCGCAAGCCUGAUCCAGCCAUACCGCGUGGGUGAAGAAGGCCUUCGGGUUGUAAAGCCCUUUUGUUGGGAAAGAAAAGCAGCAGGUUAAUACCCCGCUGUUCUGACGGUACCCAAAGAAUAAGCACCGGCUAACUUCGUG
Molecule: ribosomal RNA, 492 nt
Filed under: uncultured bacterium
Lineage: Bacteria
Description: partial 16S ribosomal RNA
Rfam family: Bacterial small subunit ribosomal RNA
Source: RNAcentral